RNAcentral lists this unclassified non-coding RNA (205 nucleotides) under Hevea brasiliensis (rubber tree). The record is from RNAcentral. Lineage: Eukaryota; Viridiplantae; Streptophyta; Magnoliopsida; Malpighiales; Euphorbiaceae.
UGGUAGUCUUGUGUUUAUAUCCUGUCUUGAAAUGUAGAAACUGGCAUUUGACUUUAAGACAUUAGAUAAAGAGGAAAUAAUUUCUUUUAGAGCCAAAGAAGUUUUAGAGGUUCAUAUUCUAUCAUACAAUGACAAACUUUUUCCUGGUUGUUUCCUUCAUGCUUAUUCUAAAAAGCAUAGUUUGAACUUUGAGCAAUUGGAAAAA